GGAUUAUCUGUGUAUUGACAGAACUGUUUAUUUGCUCCUGGCAGAAAUAAAUCCCAGCAUAUAUUCCCUGUAGCUUUUUCUUAUUUACAGAGAUGGAAAGCCUAAUCUGUUGCCAAGACCCAUUAUCCUUCGACUUGAGUCAAACAGUGCACCUUGCUUAUUGAAUCAGGGAAUAGUGUGUGUUUUAUGAAGACAGAAAGGAAAAGCACAGAGCUGGCUUUGCCUACAGCAUCCACUGUUGACAGCUACGUUUGAUGCAACAGUAUAGAAAAAGAGCUAUCAACAAUGCCAGCAUCUUCACCAGAGCUAUGGAGCUGCACAGUCAACUCUUAGAUUUCCUUGGAAAUUUUUCAGCGAGUCAAAAUUUUGUUGGAAACAUCUACGCAGCUUUCAUAAUGCAAGUUACUUGGGCUUUUGAAAUGCCUUGGAUUUGACAGAUUCCUGUGAGCUCAAAGGUGAGCUCCUGCCAGGUUUGGCCAGAGGUAGGAGCUGCCAGACCCUUAACCCUGUGGCAGUUGUGGGGGUAUCCAUGUAGUGCAGGUAGCUCAGGGUGCAGCUUGGAUUGAGCCCUGGGUGAGGACAGCUCGAGGCAAGAGGCUGUGACCUGGUGCUGCCCCUUUGCCCCACAAAGGACAGAAGGAUCUUUGGCUCAGACAGGUGACCCGACACUCAGAUACACAGCAGCAGCUGAGGGCUCAGGUGGAAAACCCCAGCCUCAGGGUAUAAAAGCCCAGUGUUUCCUUUGUUCAGUGUCCCUUCUCCAAGGCAAAAGCUUGAGCUGUUACUCUCUUGCUGCACUAUAUAAAAUUACUUAAAGGAACCAGAGGUCUGAGUCCCUUGGGAAACCUGGGAUUGAACUGCUGAGGAAAUCCUGUCUGUGUGGGAUGUGUACGGAGUCAGGCAGGGCACCUGUUGGGUCACUGGAAGGGGCUCUGGUCCC
RNAcentral lists this long non-coding RNA (940 nucleotides) under Junco hyemalis (dark-eyed junco). Its description in RNAcentral is "lncRNA (ENSJHYG00000013109.1)". Lineage: Eukaryota; Metazoa; Chordata; Aves; Passeriformes; Passerellidae. The record is from RNAcentral.